GAUGAACGCUGGCUACAGGCUUAACACAUGCAAGUCGAGGGGAAACGACGGGGAAGCUUGCUUCCCCGGGCGUCGACCGGCGCACGGGUGAGUAACGCGUAUCCAACCUGCCUCUGACUGAGGGAUAACCCGUCGAAAGUCGGCCUAAUACCUCAUGGCAUCGUCUGCGGGCAUCCAACGACGAUUAAAGAUUUCAUCGGUCAGGGAUGGGGAUGCGUCUGAUUAGCUUGUUGGCGGGGUAACGGCCCACCAAGGCUACGAUCAGUAGGGGUUCUGAGAGGAAGGGCCCCCACAUUGGAACUGAGACACGGUCCAAACUCCUACGGGAGGCAGCAGUGAGGAAUAUUGGUCAAUGGGCGGGAGCCUGAACCAGCCAAGUAGCGUGCAGGAUGACGGCCCUAUGGGUUGUAAACUGCUUUUAUGCGGGGAUAAAGUGAGGGACGUGUCCUUCAUUGCAGGUACCGCAUGAAUAAGGACCGGCUAAUUCCGUG
Molecule: ribosomal RNA, 491 nt
Filed under: uncultured bacterium
Lineage: Bacteria
Description: partial 16S ribosomal RNA
Rfam family: Bacterial small subunit ribosomal RNA
Source: RNAcentral